UUUACCAAUUCCAAACCAUAUCAAUCUUAAUAACUACCAUUAUUUUUUAUUUAAUCAUUUAUGAGUGCUAUACAAUAGUCCAGGAAAGCUGGAAGAGAAAAACAGGUCAAGAAGAACUGACAAAAGAAUUGCAAAAGAAUUAGGAAUUAAUGUGAAGAUUAAUUUUUAGUCAAUUCUGCAAGACAGACUUUCAGGAAAGGAGGUGGAAUAAAAAUGAGCUCCUAAAUCUUAAUCCCGGAUUCUGGAAGAUAUAUUCCUCAAACCAUCAAACAAGAGGAGGUGGUGCUGGUCCUUCACGAGUCAGUCUAAUCUGUUCAUUAAGCCUAUAUAUAAAGUCUUAAUAUAUAGUAUUUCACAAUACUUCAUGGUAUUCUAAUUAAAUAUUUUUUUGGAAUCUUAGAUCUCUCAGAACCUGACACAUUGUAAUUCUGAGACUCCAGGAAAGUGUCAGUUCUGUAAAAUGUUGGCGCUGGAGACUAAAUGCUCACUGAUAGUUUCACACCUUAUUCACUUAAAACACACACAAACACACACACACAGUGACAGAGGGACAGAGUGACAUCAGAUGUAUGUUUUUUAAUUUUCUGUCAUCCAUAUAAUGUUGUAUAGUCAUGAAACUAUGCAUAUUUCCUCAGAAUGACUUGUCUUCUAUGUGUACAUUUUUUUGAAGUGUUUAGAAGCUGCACUUUUUUUUACUGGUUCCUUUUUUACUAUUAUUUCAAAAAAUCACCACGACAAAACCAUUCAAGCUAUCCAAAAUUCAUUCACACCUGUUCUGUAAGAUUAAUUCUUUAAACAGUGGUAAAAGAGGAUGUGGUGCUGAACCUUCAAGAGUCACUUAAAACGUAUCUGUCCAUAAAGCCUAUUAAGAAUUAUUCUUAAUACACUCUAAAAACGGCUGGGUUAUUUUUUAACCCAAAAUGCUGGGUUGAGUCUGUUGGGUCAUUUUGUUGGGUUAUUUUAUUUAUUUUUAAACACUUUUGGGUAGUUUCAGUUUACCAGGUGUUGGGUUAAACCUGCUGGGUUGCGUCGCUGGGUUGUUUCAGGCCAGCGCUGGGUUAUUUAACGCGCCUUGAAGAUGUUUAAAUCGCUCCCCAACUGUCACUUUGGAAGAACAACGGGGCAAAGACACGGCUUUCAACUGUUUUAAGGUAAGUUUAUUUCAUGUUUUCAUUAAUAAUUAUUUUAAGUUGGCAGAAUUAUAACCUUUUUGCGGCUACAAUACUGUUAAACUUCUACAGGCCAACAUUAUUUACGUUAAAUGAUGAACAGUUUACCUCAAACGGCCAACCUGCGUUACGUGACUCGCAUAAUCAUGUUAAGAUAUCUGAGACGACAAAUUAAAACAGUUUUAUUAAGUUUCAGACAGUUACGGAUGGCUGAAAUAUGCGAAUACCUGUGAAAAUAGAGGAAAAAGUAGUUUGUGACACUGAAAAACGAAUUUAACAUUUAAGUGAGUGAAAUGAGUUCAAAAAGCAAAUACGACUUUCUGCUCUAAUGUAAACGCCUGCAGUUGUCCAUAUCGACAUGUAAAUCAUACAAUUACGUACGAUAUAGUCGGACUGCAGGUCUAAAAGAACCGACGAUCCGGUUCAAAUAAACCGGUUCAGUAAUUCUCGAACAAAGUAAUUCCCGGAAAAGAAUCGACGUCUCUUCAAAGUGACGCACGCACAGCGAGGGCCGCGUUAGUGAAGUGAUUUGAUGCUUGUGUGGUUUAUAAAGUAUUUUCACAUACAAAUUGUAAUUCAAAAUGUGUUUUUUUCCUGUCAGAAAAGCACAUGGAUACAUUUGUGAGAGGAAAAACUCGUCAAAUGCAGUCUUAUUGAGGCGUCUAAAGGUCUGAACAAACCUGGAAUUCCUUAACCGAACAGAGUCCACAAAACCCCAUCCAAUUGUCAUGGUGAUUUAAAAAUGCCAGCAGAUCUCUCAGGCAUUAUCAUAAUCAAUGGACAGGUCACCGUAGCCACCAGAUCCAGUCUGUAUCCAGAUCAGAGGGUCACUGCAGUCACCCGGAUCCAGUACGUAUCCAGACCAGAUGGUGGAUCAGCACCUAGAAAGGACCUCUACAUCCCUGAAAGACAGCGGAGACCAGGACAACUAGAGCCCCAGAUACAGAUCCCCUGUAAAGACCUUGUCUCAGAGGAGCACCAGGACAAGACCACAGGAAACAGAUGAUUCUUCUGCACAAUCUGACUUUGCUGCAGCCUGGAAUUGAACUACUGGUUUCGUCUGGUCAGAGGAGAACUGGCCCCCAACUGAGCCUGGUCUCUCCCAAGGUUUUUUUCUCCAUUCUGUCACCGAUGGAGUUUUGGUUCCUUGGUUUUCCUUAGUUUGAGACAAUUAAUAUCAAGCGAUAUCAUCGACUUGAUUGCACAGAGGGACGAUACAUCACUGAAUCAAUGAUGAACUGACUUCAACUGAAAACUGAGUGUUUACUUUUGUGUUUACUCCUUGCAUUAUUACACACUAUUUUCCUAUUUAAUACUGUAAAGCUGCUAUGAUGCAGUAUUUGAUCAAUAUGACAGGUUUAUUACUCAUAAUACAUGGAAAAUACAGCUGCAAAUGGACUUUGCUUUUCUAUUUGAAAUUUGGCAGUCACUGUGCAUUCAUGAAUGCAUCAAGUAAUUUUUGUUCAGUGUUUUUGAAAGUGUUUUUGUUCAAGAUUUGCAAUUGUGUUUGGAUUAUGUCACAAUUUGUCACAUGUGGAAAACGCAAUUGAAAAUAUAAUUUGCAAUUCCUUUUGAAAAUUGUCCUUCCAUAGACAGGCUCUAUAGCAUAGAGUACACUGCUCUCGGCUGUAGAUCUUUGCUUCAGAGCUUAAGUGUUUGACAAUAGUACACCCAAAAAUGAAAAUUGUUAAUUAUUCACCCUGGUCUGAAAUCUCUCGAAUAUCAUCGAAAAUAUCUUAACUUGUCUUCUGAAGAUGAACGAAGGGCUUACGGGUUAGUAACAACAUGAAGUUGAGUAAUAAAUGACAGAAUUUUCAUUUUUGGGUGAACUAUAUGUUGAACUACCCUAAGCAGUGCACAUCUACCUACAUAGGAGUCUUUAUAUACUUGAUAUAAAUUUAAGGACAUCUUUAAAUUUAAAGAAUGUUAAUGUCAUUUCACUGUGUAUUUAAAUAGCUAAAUAUGUCAAAAUGUAAUAGUUAAACGGCUAGACACAGGUCAUUCAGAAAAAAAUUAAAAUAAUCUGUAAUUCUGUGAUUUUUAUUUUAAUUAUUUAUUUUGCAUUUGCUGGAAACAAAAAAAGGGAAAAUUCCAUGUUGUUUGUCAUUGGUACAAAUUUUUGAAUGUCAGAUGGCAUUAAAAAUAUUUUUAACAGUCUAAAUAACCUGUAUUCUUUAUUUAUUAAUCAAUGAUUGCUUUAAGUAAAAGUGAAAUUAUGAGAAUAACCCAGCAAGAAUAACCCAGAAUCAUAAAAAUGCAAACCCACAAAUGGUAAAAAUGACUCUAACUUGGGUUUUCUAAAUAACCCAGCAUGCUGGGUUAAAAUGUGUAAACCAGCAUGCUGGGUUACUUUAACCCAGCACGUGUUCUGUCCAAUAUUUACCCAGUGCUGGGUUGCCAAUUGGGUUAUUUUUAACCCAGC
Carassius gibelio (silver crucian carp) is the source of this 3591-nucleotide long non-coding RNA. RefSeq lists it as uncharacterized. Lineage: Eukaryota; Metazoa; Chordata; Actinopteri; Cypriniformes; Cyprinidae. The transcript is spliced from 3 exons. The record is from RefSeq and is a predicted model, not a curated record.